CACUUGGACACCUGACAAACUGACAGACAUUGGCAGGACAGCACAAAUAGUUGAUGGAUGAGCUAUGGAAGAUGAAAUUGAAAAAGAAGGAGUGGGAGAGCGAAAGAAACAACACGCAUAUAGAAAAAAAUAUGACUGAUUCGAUUUCCUGUUGGGGCUCUAACCUAUUGACAAGUUUUUUUUUCUCUUGAAUAAUGUGGAAAAAUUCUAUUGUAAUGUUUUUGAUAUGCGUAGUGUAUAUAGAAGCCUUGCAAUGUUUAUUUUCAUAAAACUGAAAACAAU
RNAcentral lists this small RNA (282 nucleotides) under Caenorhabditis elegans. Its description in RNAcentral is "Unclassified non-coding RNA Y110A7A.24b (Y110A7A.24)". Lineage: Eukaryota; Metazoa; Nematoda; Chromadorea; Rhabditida; Rhabditidae. The record is from RNAcentral.